UACGUAGGGUGCAAGCGUUGUCCGGAAUUAUUGGGCGUAAAGAGCUCGUAGGCGGUCUGUCGCGUCGGCUGUGAAAUCCCGAGGCUCAACCUCGGGUCUGCAGUCGAUACGGGCAAACUAGAGUAUUGCAGGGAGACUGGAAUUCCUGGUGUAGCGGUGAAUGCGCAGAUAUCAGGAGGAACACCUAUUGCGAAGGCAGCUCGCUGGACGUUACUGACGCUGAGACGCGAAAGCGUGGGAGCAAACAGG
RNAcentral lists this ribosomal RNA (249 nucleotides) under uncultured bacterium. RNAcentral describes it as "partial 16S ribosomal RNA". It matches the Rfam family "Bacterial small subunit ribosomal RNA", at positions 524 to 776 of the family's 1533-position model. The record is from RNAcentral.